This 402-nucleotide ribosomal RNA is filed under the name uncultured prokaryote. RNAcentral's name for it is "bacterial SSU rRNA". It matches the Rfam family "Bacterial small subunit ribosomal RNA", at positions 355 to 774 of the family's 1533-position model. The record is from RNAcentral.
UGGGGAAUAUUGGGCAAUGGGCGAAAGCCUGACCCAGCGACGCCGCGUGAGCGAUGAAGCCCUUCGGGGUGUAAAGCUCUUUCGGCAGGAACGAUAAUGACGGUACCUGCAGAAGAAGCUGCGGCUAACUACGUGCCAGCAGCCGCGGUAAUACGUAGGCAGCAAGCGUUGUUCGGAGUUACUGGGCGUAAAGAGUGCGUAGGCGGUCCUCUAAGUUCGGUGUGAAAUCUCCCGGCUCAACUGGGAGGGUGCGCCGGAAACUGGAGGGCUUGAGUAUGGGAGAGGAAAGCGGAAUUCCUGGUGUAGCGGUGAAAUGCGUAGAUAUCAGGAGGAACACCUGUGGUGUAGACGGCUUUCUGGACCAUGACUGACGCUGAGGCACGAAAGCGUGGGGAGCAAACA